Molecule: transfer RNA, 70 nt
Filed under: Potamyia flava
Lineage: Eukaryota; Metazoa; Arthropoda; Insecta; Trichoptera; Hydropsychidae
Description: tRNA-Met
Source: RNAcentral
AAUUAUGCGUUUAUCAGUUAAAUCCUAAAUUAUUAAAUUUUAAUCAAAAUUAAUUUUUUAAAUGUAAAUC